This 464-nucleotide ribosomal RNA is filed under the name uncultured bacterium. RNAcentral's name for it is "bacterial SSU rRNA". It matches the Rfam family "Bacterial small subunit ribosomal RNA", at positions 29 to 475 of the family's 1533-position model. The record is from RNAcentral.
AACGAACGUUAGCGGCGCGCCUAACACAUGCAAGUCGAGCGAGAAAGGGAUUCGUCCCCAGUAAAGCGGCGCACGGGUGAGUAACACGUGGGUAACCUUCCCUUGAGCGGGGGAUAACGUUUCGAAAGGAACGCUAAUACCGCAUAAGACCACGGCCUCGAAAGAGGCUGAGGUAAAAGCAGGCCUCUAUAUAUAAGCUUGCACUUAAGGAUGGGCCCGCGUCCCAUCAGCUAGUUGGUAGGGUAACGGCCUACCAAGGCUAAGACGGGUAACUGGCCUGAGAGGAUGAUCAGUCACACUGGAACUGAGACACGGUCCAGACUCCUACGGGAGGCAGCAGUAGGGAAUCUUGCGCAAUGGGCGAAAGCCUGACGCAGCGACGCCGCGUGAGUGAUGAAGGCCUCGGUUGUAAGCUCUGUGGAGAGAGACGAAUAAGUAGGAGGCUAAUCACUCCAUGAUGACGG